GUAGAGGCCCACCAAACCGACGAUCAGUAGCCGGCCUGAGAGGGUGGACGGCCACAUUGGGACUGAGACACGGCCCAAACUCCUACGGGAGGCAGCAGUGGGGAAUAUUGGGCAAUGGACGCAAGUCUGACCCAGCAACGCCGCGUGAAGGAAGAAGGCUUUCGGGUUGUAAACUUCUUUUACCAGGGACGAAGGACGUGACGGUACCUGGAGAAAAGCCACGGCUAACUAC
This 232-nucleotide ribosomal RNA is filed under the name uncultured bacterium. RNAcentral describes it as "partial 16S ribosomal RNA". It matches the Rfam family "Bacterial small subunit ribosomal RNA", at positions 257 to 504 of the family's 1533-position model. The record is from RNAcentral.